This 277-nucleotide unclassified non-coding RNA is filed under the name uncultured fungus. RNAcentral's name for it is "partial contains 5.8S ribosomal RNA, internal transcribed spacer 2, and large subunit ribosomal RNA". The stretch from base 1 to 52 matches the Rfam family "5.8S ribosomal RNA", at positions 103 to 154 of the family's 154-position model. The record is from RNAcentral. Lineage: Eukaryota; Fungi.
AACGCACAUUGCGCCCGCCAGUAUUCUGGCGGGCAUGCCUGUCCGAGCGUCAUUUCGACCCUCAGGGCCCCCCCAAGGGGGGGACCUGGCGUUGGGGGACGGCGCCCGUCGCCGCCCCCGAAAUGCAGUGGCGGCCACGUCGCAGCGACCUCCGCGUAGUAGCAAGACGCCUCGCGGGAAGGGAGCUCGGCGCGGCCACGCCGUAAAAACAGGGCCGUGAGGCCCCCCCAACCAACGAGUUGACCUCGGAUCAGGUAGGAAUACCCGCUGAACUUAA